GUGUGUGUGUGUGAGUGUGUGU
Molecule: microRNA, 22 nt
Filed under: Hyalella azteca
Lineage: Eukaryota; Metazoa; Arthropoda; Malacostraca; Amphipoda; Hyalellidae
Description: miR-574-2
Source: RNAcentral